GAUGAAGAACGUAGCAAAAUGCGAUAAGUAAUGUGAAUUGCAGAAUUCAGUGAAUCAUCGAAUCUUUGAACGCACAUUGCGCCCGCCAGUAUUCUGGCGGGCAUGCCUGUUCGAGCGUCAUUUCAACCCUCAAGCCCUCGGGUUUGGUGUUGGGGAUCGGCGAGCCUUUCUGGCAAGCCGGCCCCGAAAUCUAGUGGCGGUCUCGCUGCAGCCUCCAUUGCGUAGUAGUAAAACCCUCGCAACUGGAACGCGGCGCGGCCAAGCCGUUAAACCCCCAACUUCUGGAUGUUGACCUCGGAUCAGGUAGGAAUACCCGCUGAACUUAAGCAUAUCAAUAAGCGGAGGA
This 346-nucleotide unclassified non-coding RNA is filed under the name soil metagenome. Its description in RNAcentral is "partial contains 5.8S ribosomal RNA, internal transcribed spacer 2, and large subunit ribosomal RNA". The stretch from base 1 to 120 matches the Rfam family "5.8S ribosomal RNA", at positions 35 to 154 of the family's 154-position model. The record is from RNAcentral.